GCAGAGUUUGAUCAUGGCUCAGAGCGAACGCUGGCGGCGUGCUUAACACAUGCAAGUCGAACGUGAAAGGGAGCAAUCCUGAGAAAAGUGGCGUACGGGUGAGUAACACGUAGGUAAUCUACCCCAAAGUCUGGAAUAACCUGCCGAAAGGCGGGCAUAAUACUGGAUAGAGCGACGGAAUCCGUAAUUGGGUUUUUCGGGAAAGGGAGGAAGCAAUUCCCUUCGCUUUGGGAUGAGCCUGCGUCUCAUUAGCUAGUUGGUGGGGUAACGGCCUACCAAGGCUUUGAUGGGUAGCUGGUCUGAGAGGAUGAUCAGCCACACUGGAACUGAAACACGGUCCAGACUCCUACGGGAGGCAGCAGUGGGGAAUCUUGCGCAAUGGACGAAAGUCUGACGCAGCCACGCCGCGUGAGUGAAGAAGGCCUUCGGGUUGUAAAGCUCUGUCGAGCGGGACGAAAAAUCUUUAGGUGAAUAGCCUAGAGAUCUGACGGUACCGCUAAAGGAAGCACCGGCUAACUCCGUGCCAGCAGCCGCGGUAAUACGGAGGGUGCAAGCGUUGCUCGGAAUUAUUGGGCGUAAAGGGUAGGUAGG
RNAcentral lists this ribosomal RNA (591 nucleotides) under uncultured delta proteobacterium. Its description in RNAcentral is "bacterial SSU rRNA". It matches the Rfam family "Bacterial small subunit ribosomal RNA", at positions 1 to 575 of the family's 1533-position model. The record is from RNAcentral. Lineage: Bacteria; Deltaproteobacteria.